This 429-nucleotide long non-coding RNA is filed under the name Oryza brachyantha (malo sina). RNAcentral's name for it is "long non-coding RNA (OBRA_LNC001714)". Lineage: Eukaryota; Viridiplantae; Streptophyta; Magnoliopsida; Poales; Poaceae. The record is from RNAcentral.
CGACCCUACUUAAUACAACAUACUAUAAAAUAUAAAAUUUUAGUACAUCCUAUUUUAAACAUUUUGUUUAAAUUUUACGGUCAAAAAACUUGUGUCAAUUACCACCCCCCAAGUGCAUCAUGUCAAAGCAGCCAUCCAUAUAGAUGUGCACGGGGCCGCGGCUGCAUUGCGGUGACUGGCGGCGGAGGUUGUCGAUGGGCAGCAUUGUAGGAAGGGGCGAUGGGGCUGACAAGGUGGAGGGUGAGCACUGAGGCGACGAGCACUAUCUCACUGAUGACGCACGUCGACCGCCACUAGCUUAGCUCUGUUGCUGAUGCUCUCAGUCACCGCCGUGAAAUGAGAGAUUGAGCAGCGGAUGGGAGAGAGGCCCGAGGAAGUAAGCAUGGCCAGAGGGAGGGAGGGAUCUCAGGUUUGGGAUCGGGGUGCCAG